GAAAUCUGGUACCUUCGGUGCCCGAGUUGUAAUUUGUAGAGGGCGACUUUGGGGCGGCUCCUUGUCUAUGUUCCUUGGAACAGGACGUCAUAGAGGGUGAGAAUCCCGUGUGGCGAGGAGUGCGGUUCCGUGUAAAGCGCUCUCGAAGAGUCGAGUUGUUUGGGAAUGCAGCUCUAAGUGGGUGGUAAAUUCCAUCUAAAGCUAAAUAUUGGCGAGAGACCGAUAGCGAACAAGUACAGUGAUGGAAAGAUGAAAAGAACUUUGAAAAGAGAGUGAAAAAGUACGUGAAAUUGUUGAAAGGGAAGGGCAUUUGAUCAGACAUGGUGUUUUGCGCCCCUCGCUCCUUGUGGGUGGGGGACCCUCGCAGCUCACUGGGCCAGCAUCAGUUUUGGCGGUCGGAUAAAACCAGGGGAACGUAGCUUGCUUCGGGAAGUGUUAUAGCCCUUGGGAAUACGGCCAGCCGGGACUGAGGAACGCGAUUCGUC
This 485-nucleotide ribosomal RNA is filed under the name Maudiozyma bulderi. RNAcentral's name for it is "Kazachstania bulderi partial large subunit ribosomal RNA". It matches the Rfam family "Eukaryotic large subunit ribosomal RNA", at positions 117 to 606 of the family's 3401-position model. Lineage: Eukaryota; Fungi; Ascomycota; Saccharomycetes; Saccharomycetales; Saccharomycetaceae. The record is from RNAcentral.